AGUGAACGCUGGCGGUAGGCCUAGCACAUGCAAGUCGAACGGCAGCACAGUAAGAGCUUGCUCUUACGGGUGGCGAGUGGCGGACGGGUGAGGAAUACAUCGGAAUCUACUUUUUCGUGGGGGAUAAUGUAGGGAAACUUACGCUAAUACCGCAUACGACCUACGGGCGAAAGCAGGGGAUCUUCGGACCUUGCGCGAUUGAAUGAGCCGAUGUCGGAUUAGCUAGUUGGCGGGGUAAAGGCCCACCAAGGCGACGAUCCGUAGCUGGUCUGAGAGGAUGAUCAGCCACACUGGGACUGAGACACGGUCCAGACUCCUACGGGAGGCAGCAGUGGGGAAUAUUGGACAAUGGGCGCAAGCCUGAUCCAGCCAUACCGCGUGGGUGAAGAAGGCCUUCGGGUUGUAAAGCCCUUUUGUUGGGAAAGAAAAGCAGCAGGUUAAUACCCCGCUGUUCUGACGGUACCCAAAGAAUAAGCACCGGCUAACUUCGUG
RNAcentral lists this ribosomal RNA (492 nucleotides) under uncultured bacterium. RNAcentral's name for it is "partial 16S ribosomal RNA". It matches the Rfam family "Bacterial small subunit ribosomal RNA", at positions 29 to 507 of the family's 1533-position model. The record is from RNAcentral.